CGAAGCAAUUUGGCAGAAGUUUUCGGAUGGAAGCUGGAUUGACUGAGUGGCGGACGGGUGAGUAACGCGUGGGUAACCUGCCUCACACUGGGGGACAACAGUUAGAAAUGACUGCUAAUACCGCAUAAGCGCACAGGACCGCAUGGUCCGGUGUGAAAAACUCCGGUGGUGUGAGAUGGACCCGCGUUUGAUUAGCUAGUUGGUGGGGUAACGGCCUACCAAGGCGACGAUCAAUAGCCGACCUGAGAGGGUGACCGGCCACAUUGGGACUGAGAUACGGCCCAAACUCCUACGGGAGGCAGCAGUGGGGAAUAUUGCACAAUGGGGGAAACCCUGAUGCAGCGACGCCGCGUGAGUGAAGAAGUAUUUCGGUAUGUAAAGCUCUAUCAGCAGGGAAGAAAAUGACGGUACCUGACUAAGAAGCCCCGGCUAACUACGUGCCAGCAGCCGCGGUAAUACGUAGGGGGCAAGCGUUAUCCGGAUUUACUGGGUGUAAAGGGAGCGUAGACGGUAAAGCAAGUCUGAAGUGAAAGCCCGGGGCUCAACCCCGGGACUGCUUUGGAAACUGUUUAACUAGAGUGCUGGAGAGGUAAGCGGAAUUCCUAGUGUAGCGGUGAAAUGCGUAGAUAUUAGGAGGAACACCAGUGGCGAAGGCGGCUUACUGGA
RNAcentral lists this ribosomal RNA (666 nucleotides) under uncultured Lachnospiraceae bacterium. RNAcentral's name for it is "bacterial SSU rRNA". It matches the Rfam family "Bacterial small subunit ribosomal RNA", at positions 63 to 733 of the family's 1533-position model. The record is from RNAcentral. Lineage: Bacteria; Bacillati; Bacillota; Clostridia; Lachnospirales; Lachnospiraceae.